AUCUUUCUAGUAUAACCAAUACCAAUAGCUUCCAACUAUUAAAUCUCAAAUAUUUGAGGAGAGAUA
Molecule: transfer RNA, 66 nt
Filed under: Porichthys myriaster (specklefin midshipman)
Lineage: Eukaryota; Metazoa; Chordata; Actinopteri; Batrachoidiformes; Batrachoididae
Description: tRNA-Gly
Source: RNAcentral